UAUGGCAAAUGUGAGAUGCAGUGUAUGGAAUGUCAAAUUUCUAGUAUGAGAAAUUAACGAUUUAAGUCCUUCUUAAAUGAGGCCAUUUACCCAUAGAGGGUGCCAGGCCCGUAUAACGUUAAUGAUUACUAGAUGGCAUUUCCAAAGAGUCGUGUUGCUUGAUAGUGCAGCACUAAGUGGGUGGUAAACUCCAUCUAAAACUAAAUAUAACCAUGAGACCGAUAGUAAACAAGUACCGUGAGGGAAAGUUGAAAAGAACUCUGAAUAGAGAGUUAAAUAGUACGUGAAACUGCUUAGAGGUUAAGCCCGAUGAACCUGAAUAUCCAUUAUAGAAAAUUCAUCAUUAUGAUUUUAAUAUUAAUAAUAUUAUAAUAAUGGUGUGCAUUUUUUCUAUAACGGACAUUGUAAUCUAUUAACAUAAAUAUAUUUAUCAUAAGAUCAAUGAUGCGUAAGUUUAUUCAAAUUAUUUUGCUUGCAAUUUAACAUAGAAUAAAUGCUCUUGAUUUGAUAAAGUGUUGAUAGAUUUAUUGUAUAUAGUGCUUAAAUAUUUAUAUUUUAUAAUAGCAUAUUAAUCAUUGAUUUUUAUGUUUAUUAUAUGCACUUAUAUGAUUAACAAUGCGAAAGAUUCAGGAUACCUUCGGGACCCGUCUUGAAACACGGACCAAGGAGUCUAACAUAUUUGCAAGUUAUUGGGUAUCAAAACCUAAUAGCGAAAUUAACAUAACUUUAAUGGGAUUAGUUUUUAGAUUAUUUAUAGUCUAUUAAUUCAAUCCCGGGGCGUUCUAUAUAGUUAUGUAUAAUAAUAUUUAUAUUAUUUAUACCUCUAACUAGAGCGUACCUUGAGCAUAUAUGCUGUGACCCGAAAGAUGGUGAACUAUACUUGAUCAGGUUGAAGUCAGGGGAAACCCUGAUGGAAGACCGAAACAGUUCUGACGUGCAAAUCGAUUGUCAGAAUUGAGUAUAGGGGCGAAAGACCAAUCGAACCAUCUAGUAGCU
This 996-nucleotide ribosomal RNA is filed under the name Sarcophaga inzi. Its description in RNAcentral is "eukaryotic LSU rRNA". It matches the Rfam family "Eukaryotic large subunit ribosomal RNA", at positions 128 to 952 of the family's 3401-position model. Lineage: Eukaryota; Metazoa; Arthropoda; Insecta; Diptera; Sarcophagidae. The record is from RNAcentral.